CCUACGGGGGGCAGCAGUGAGGAAUAUUGGUCAAUGGACGAGAGUCUGAACCAGCCAAGUAGCGUGAAGGAUGACUGCCCUAUGGGUUGUAAACUUCUUUUAUAUGGGAAUAAAAUGUUCCACGUGUGGGAUUUUGUAUGUACCAUAUGAAUAAGGAUCGGCUAACUCCGUGCCAGCAGCCGCGGUAAUACGGAGGAUCCGAGCGUUAUCCGGAUUUAUUGGGUUUAAAGGGAGCGUAGGUGGAUUGUUAAGUCAGUUGUGAAAGUUUGCGGCUCAACCGUAAAAUUGCAGUUGAAACUGGCAGUCUUGAGUACAGUAGAGGUGGGCGGAAUUCGUGGUGUAGCGGUGAAAUGCUUAGAGAUCACGAAGAACUCCGAUUGCGAAGGCAGUUCACUGGACUGCAACUGACACUGAGGCUCGAAAGUGUGGGUAUCAAACAGGAUUAGAUACCCCUGUAGUC
This 460-nucleotide ribosomal RNA is filed under the name uncultured bacterium. Its description in RNAcentral is "partial 16S ribosomal RNA". It matches the Rfam family "Bacterial small subunit ribosomal RNA", at positions 338 to 795 of the family's 1533-position model. The record is from RNAcentral.